GUGCCAGCCGNCGCGGUAAUACCGGNAGCCCAAGUGAUGGCCGAUCUUAUUGGGCCUAAAGCGUCCGUAGCUGGCCGCGCAAGUCCAUCGGGAAAUCCACCUGCUCAACAGGUGGGCGCCCGGUAGAAACUGCGUGGCUUGGGACCGGAAGGCGCGACGGGUACGUCCGGGGUAGGAGUGAAAUCCCGUAAUCCUGGACGGACCGCCGAUGGCGAAAGCACGUCGCGAGAACGGAUCCGACAGUGAGGGACGAAAGCCAGGGUCUCGAACCGGAUUAGAUACCCGGGUAGUCC
Molecule: ribosomal RNA, 293 nt
Filed under: uncultured prokaryote
Description: partial 16S ribosomal RNA
Rfam family: Archaeal small subunit ribosomal RNA
Source: RNAcentral